GAGGAGAGACGCGGGGCGGAGAGGAGCCGGUGCGGCGGGGGAAGACCGGCGGACCGAGGGCGGCGGGGUCGGUGUUAAUCGUAGUUUAUCGCAGUCGUAGUUGUGAGCAGUUGGGGCGGGUGUUGGUGCGGGUUUGCGGUCGUUUAGACGCCGUUUGGAGUGGCGGUUUUGUCGGAGGUGGCGGCUGGGAGCGCGGAGUUAGGGUUAAGGUGUGGCUUUCUGGAAAAGACCCGAUUUAUCUGCGGGGUCGAGGGUCUGGAGUGGCUCUUACCUCCGGCUGGUUUUGUGGAGGGGUUUUAAGGAGGGGGCGUGGCUGUCAUGGCUGGAUUUUGGGUGAAAAUUGUUUUAAGGAAGCGUUUGAUUACACAAUGAGAUGUGUGUGUGUGUGUGUGUAUGAGUGUGUGUUACAGAAAGAGAGAGCAGCAGGAUGGGCUUUAUUAACACUACCUAAGACUGAUAGCUAUAGGCAGCCAGCAUUGGUGACAGGGUUUUUAGGGAGUGUAAAAGCUGUAGAAACGUGUAAAUAAAUAAAUAUGUUAUAUAUUUAAGACUUUGACUCCCUCACGCGCUCGCUCACGCGUACAUAUAACCUACACCCAGGGCGUGAGCCUGCAGUCGAGUGGAGCCACACAUACACACUCUCACAGUGUGUGUGUGUGUUUGAGUGCUAGUCUGCUCUCGUUCGUGUCAGAUAUGUGGAGAAAAAACGGUAAAUUUAAAAAAAGGCUCAGGUUUCAGAAAGAAAAGAGGAAAAAAAAACAAGAAAAGAAGAAGAAGGACCACAAGCACAUCGACUGCUCUGAGACAUCUGCUGGGGAGAGAGACACACAGAAAGAGAAAUAUAAAAAGAAAGAAAGAGAGAAAGAAAGAAAGAAAGAGUCAUGAGCUAUGGAGAAGGACACGAUCGCCAGUGUUCCCUAUUGCGCCAGUGUGCCGUUUUUGUGGACCUAUGGAAUUCCAUUGGAAAGGCGUCUAGCUGCCAAAGGUUGAUUGACUCGAUGCUGUCUGUCCCCUUCACCACUAAUGGUCAUCAAGGGAGUGACCCAGCAUUUGCCCUGGUGCCCACUGGCUGACCCGCAGCAGUUCUUCACUGGCAAGCUUUAUGUCCUUGUGUAUCAGCUAAAGCUGCCAGCUGAAGAACUGUUGUGGUUGGCUCUUUCCUGGCACCUCAGCCGAGGAGGACAUGAUGAUGGCGUGCACAUCCAUAAUGGCAUAGGUGAGGUUUCAGGAAGAGAAGAGAAAAGAGGGGGGGGAUGGGUGGAUGGGCGGAUGGCUCAGACAGUAGUGCUGGCGUGAUGAUGGGUCAGAGGGUUCAAACCAAUAGUGGAUCAGACAGGUCCGGCUUUCGGUCCCCCCCCUCCACCCUCCUCCUAGCUUUGCCUGGAAUGCUCACGUGAGCUGUCCGGGCCUGGCUGUGCAUUCUCCACAGGCAUAAACAAAAGCUUCUGGCAGAGCCCAUGCUGACUCAGCAACAUUCCUGGCCCGGUGAGGUCCUCCUGGCCUUAUUUGGGCGUGGAGCGGGUGGGGAGCGGCCGCGGCUGGGCCGUGGCUCGUCAAGUGGGGAUGGGUUGACGGGGUUGACGGGAGCACCCACAGCAAGAAAGACAAAAAGGAAAAAAUAAAGUGAUGUUCUGAGGGGUUGAAAGAAAAAUUGCAGUGCACUUAUUUUUUUACUUAUUUUAUACUUCCUUGUGUUCUCUGGAGAGGAGCCCAGGAUUUUCACAUGUGUUUCUGUUUAUGGAACAGUCAGAGAGUUCUUUCCAGAGAACGAGCAUUUUAGUUCUCUCAUGCAUAAACCUGUAUCGCCAAUUUUGCGUUUUUCAAUUUUUGACAGACAUUGAAUCUGGCAAUAGGAAUGCUCAAAAAUAACUUGAUUAAUAACUUGAAAUUAAAUAUUUUAAAUGAGCACAGAAGGCGUACAAACCAUGCUGGGUCUGGUUAGUGAACAGUAGCUGGGAGACACAGAACCUAUUGAUGUGAGGGCUUAAUAGCCUCAAGAUAUUCUGAUUGGCUGGAUAUGCCUUUUUUUUUUUAAACACUACAGUAGGCUGCUAGCCGAAGUGCUAACAUCGCAGUAGCAAUGUUGGAUGAGUCCAGUAGCCAGCAUGCUAACAUUGUGUUUGUGAUGAAAGACAACACCUGUACAGUCAUGCUAAUGCUGCGAUAGCCCCCCAUGCUAACUCUUUGAAAUCAGUGGAGGAAUGUAAGACUCUGUGCUCUUCCUGGUCCUGAAGAAAUCUCAAUCCAAAUAUUGGCUCCAAACCAUUAAGAAGUUUUUAUCUCUUCUCCUGUAAAAUUGCCAUUUUGAAGAUAAUCAGCAAUAUCUAUGUUCUGUAUGUUCAUCUGGACCAUCUCCUGCCCCUCCCCCUCAGGCCCUGCCCUGGAAUUUAUGAGACACACUGGGCAUACUGUGUCUGAGUGACAUGCUGGUGUACACACGCCACAUUGCACAAGCUUAGUAAGCAAUGAAUCUCUCUUCAAGGGCAAAAGCAGUGCUGAGAACAGGAUAUGAAACCGUGCCGUUCUUAAACCUUCCAGCCAGAUAAAAAACAAAGGUAGAGAAUGUUCUCGCCAGCUAGCAGAACCAGAUGCCCUUUGCGGGAAAACGUGUGGAGCCUGUGGCUUGAAAAGCAGUGCUGCUUCCUUUCUGUCUCUCUGCUGCACACCCCACCCCUCCUAACCCCCCUAGACAUGCUCAUGCAGGAUCAUGUAGCAUAUUUGUUCUUGCACAGUCACUAGAGUUAAGGAUAAAUAAAUGACAUGAUGUGGCAUAAACUAAACUAAGCUAAGCUAAGCCACGCUAAGCUAAUCAAAGCUAGUGUGACGAGGCUCCUGCAUAGAUGUUGCUUUGUUUUAUGUGCCAUCUCUUUCCGGAACCUAUAUAAGACUACGGUUCCAUCAGGUCAAGCGCAAUCAUUGCCCGCUAGAUCGGCUCUGGGCAAGCUUCUUGCAAGCGAAUUAAAAGAUUGCGGAGGGUCGACCUGGCUCUGCUUAACAGGAGCAGUAAUUCCAACCUAUAGGUCAGACCCAGAGCAUCACUCAGCAUGCUGUCUUUAGAAGCUCUUUACAUUAGUUUAGAAAGAGCAGGGUCAUUUGUGUUGUCUUUAUGCUGGAAAUGUGUUUUUAACUUUAGUUUUGUAGUGUGUUUUAAUGUACUGUAUUGUAGUGUAUUUUACAAAAAAUAAAGACACAAAAAAGGCAAAUUU
Long non-coding RNA from Astyanax mexicanus (Mexican tetra), 3206 nucleotides. RefSeq lists it as uncharacterized. The record is from RefSeq and is a predicted model, not a curated record. The transcript is spliced from 3 exons. NCBI's taxonomy places the organism in Eukaryota, Metazoa, Chordata, Actinopteri, Characiformes, Acestrorhamphidae.